This 123-nucleotide ribosomal RNA is filed under the name Triticum aestivum (bread wheat). RNAcentral's name for it is "partial small subunit ribosomal RNA". Lineage: Eukaryota; Viridiplantae; Streptophyta; Magnoliopsida; Poales; Poaceae. The record is from RNAcentral.
UCUUAUUUACAGAACUAUGUGCAAGAGCUCUAUUUGCCUCUGCCAUUCUAUGAGUCGCUUCCUUUUUGCGUAUGGCACCCCCACUCCCUUUGGCAGCAUCUACUAAUUCGGAACUUAAUUUGA